RNAcentral lists this transfer RNA (75 nucleotides) under Rhodospirillales bacterium. RNAcentral's name for it is "tRNA-Thr". It matches the Rfam family "tRNA". Rfam says of the family: Transfer RNA (tRNA) molecules are approximately 80 nucleotides in length. Lineage: Bacteria; Pseudomonadati; Pseudomonadota; Alphaproteobacteria; Rhodospirillales. The record is from RNAcentral.
GCCAGUGUAGCUCAGUGGUAGAGCAGCUGUUUCGUAAACAGCAGGUCAUCGGUUCGAUCCCGAUUACUGGCUCCA